Molecule: ribosomal RNA, 397 nt
Filed under: uncultured bacterium
Lineage: Bacteria
Description: partial 16S ribosomal RNA
Rfam family: Bacterial small subunit ribosomal RNA
Source: RNAcentral
AUACGUAGGUGGCAAGCGUUGUCCGGAAUUAUUGGGCGUAAAGCGCGCGCAGGCGGUCCUUUAAGUCUGAUGUGAAAGCCCACGGCUCAACCGUGGAGGGUCAUUGGAAACUGGGGGACUUGAGUGCAGAAGAGGAAAGUGGAAUUCCAAGUGGAGCGGUGAAAUGCGUAGAGAUUUGGAGGAACACCAGUGGCGAAGGCGACUUUCUGGUCUGUAACUGACGCUGAGGCGCGAAAGCGUGGGGAGAAAACAGGAUUAGAUACCCGGGUAGUCCACGCCGUAAACGAUGAGUGCUAAGUGUUAGGGGGUUUCCGCCCCUUAGUGCUGCAGCUAACGCAUUAAGCACUCCGCCUGGGGAGUACGGUCGCAAGACUGAAACUCAAAUGAAUUGACGGGG